CCUACGGGUGGCAGCAGUGAGGAAUAUUGGUCAAUGGGCGCGAGCCUGAACCAGCCAAGUAGCGUGAAGGAUGACGGCCCUACGGGUUGUAAACUUCUUUUAUAAAGGAAUAAAGGGAGGCACGUGUGCCGUUUUGAAUGUACGCGAUGAAAAAGGAGAGGCGAACUCCGGGCCAGCAGCCGCGGUAAGACGGCGGAUGCGAGCGUUAUCCGGAUUUAUUGGGUUUAAAGGGAGCGUAGAUGGGUUGUUAAGUCAGUGGUGAAAGUUUGCGGCUCAACCGUCUCCUUGCAAUGGAUACUGGCUGUCUUGCGUGCACUUGCGGUAGGCGGAAUUCGUGGUGUAGCGGUGACAUGCUUAGAUAUCACGCAGAACUCCGAUUGCGAAGGCAGCUUACUACCCUUCCACUGACGUUGAUGCUCGAAAGUGUGGGUAUCAAACAGGAUUAGAUACCCCGGUAGUC
This 460-nucleotide ribosomal RNA is filed under the name uncultured bacterium. RNAcentral's name for it is "partial 16S ribosomal RNA". It matches the Rfam family "Bacterial small subunit ribosomal RNA", at positions 338 to 795 of the family's 1533-position model. The record is from RNAcentral.